This is a long non-coding RNA of Folsomia candida, 621 nucleotides long. RefSeq lists it as uncharacterized. The transcript is spliced from 3 exons. The record is from RefSeq and is a predicted model, not a curated record. Lineage: Eukaryota; Metazoa; Arthropoda; Collembola; Entomobryomorpha; Isotomidae.
ACUCAUUGCACCCUGGCACCUGUCGUCCCUCCACUUUCUCUCUCGCCACAUUCACUUGUUACAUUUGACUUCACACGUAUGCUGUUUUCAUACUUGUUGCGUAACCUGUCCCAUAUUUGCAAUGAAUUUGCGAUUAUUCGCGAUAAUUUUGGUCCUUGUGAUCUGUGCCGUGGCAACGGCGCUUUACUUGGCGAGCUGUGUCCCACAGAAUGCCGACGUCCCGCCAGGAUUUCAUAUUCCUGGAUUAAAUCAUACGAAUAUUGUAUCGCUUCCGCUUCGAGGGAGGAAUUAAAUCGGAGCAAUUAAUUGGGAACAAUCCGGUCGGAAAAGUGAAAGUCCAACUUUCUACAUCGAAAUUUUGGAUUUUCCUGUCCUCUGCAUAUCUUAGAAAUCGGAUACAAACUUAUUUUCAUCAAUUUCUUAUUCAAAUAUUCAAAUACGACAUUUAGUAUUCAAAGUUACACAAUGUUUUUGUACAAUGUUGUACAAAAUUUUGACCAACAGUGCGAUGUACGGACACUGGUGUCCAUUUCGAACUUCUCCGAUGUUGAUAAAUAUUUACAUAAGCUAAAUUUAUUAUAUCUGUGUAAUAAUUAAUAAAUAAAUUUACCUGAUUGCAAA